UGGGGAAUUUUGCGCAAUGGGGGAAACCCUGACGCAGCAACGCCGCGUGAGUGAUGAAGGCCCUUGGGUCGUAAAGCUCUGUCAGUGGGAACGAAGUGUCGGCGGUUAAUACCUGACCGAUUUGACGGUACCCACAAAGGAAGCACCGGCUAACUCC
Molecule: ribosomal RNA, 157 nt
Filed under: uncultured bacterium
Lineage: Bacteria
Description: partial 16S ribosomal RNA
Rfam family: Bacterial small subunit ribosomal RNA
Source: RNAcentral